GACGAACGCUGGCGGCGUGCUUAACACAUGCAAGUCGAACGGUGAUGCUCCAGCUUGCUGGAGUGGAUCAGUGGCGAACGGGUGAGUAACACGUGAGCAACCUGCCCCAGACUCUGGAAUAAGCGCUGGAAACGGCGUCUAAUACUCGAUACGAAACUGGCCCGCAUGGGCAUGGUUUGGAAAGUUUUUCGGUUUGGGAUGGGCUCGCGGCCUAUCAGCUUGUUGGUGAGGUAAUGGCUCACCAAGGCGACGACGGGUAGCCGGCCUGAGAGGGCGACCGGCCACACUGGGACUGAGACACGGCCCAGACUCCUACGGGAGGCAGCAGUGGGGAAUAUUGCACAAUGGGCGAAAGCCUGAUGCAGCGACGCCGCGUGAGGGAUGACGGCCUUCGGGUUGUAAACCUCUUUCAGCAGGGAAGAAGCGAAAGUGACGGUACCUGCAGAAGAAGCACCGGCUAACUACGUG
RNAcentral lists this ribosomal RNA (468 nucleotides) under uncultured bacterium. Its description in RNAcentral is "partial 16S ribosomal RNA". It matches the Rfam family "Bacterial small subunit ribosomal RNA", at positions 28 to 507 of the family's 1533-position model. The record is from RNAcentral.